UUACUAGACUGGUCUAAGAGACUCAAAAUAAUCAAAGGGUUAGUAGAGGGGCUUGUUUACCUGCACAAGCACCCCAUGCUAUCUAUUGUCCAUAGGGACUUGAAACCAAAUAAUAUUAUCUUGGAAUGUGACAUGACUCUUAAUAUUUCUGAUUUUGGAUCAGCUAAAACCCUGAGUCCAGACGUAACAGAAGAGCAUACAUGCAGGGUGGUGGGCACUAGGUAA
This 225-nucleotide ribosomal RNA is filed under the name Triticum aestivum (bread wheat). RNAcentral describes it as "partial small subunit ribosomal RNA". Lineage: Eukaryota; Viridiplantae; Streptophyta; Magnoliopsida; Poales; Poaceae. The record is from RNAcentral.